GAUGAAGAACGUAGCGAAAUGCGAUAAGUGAUGUGAAUUGCAGAAUCCAGUGAAUCAUCGAAUCUUUGAACGCACAUUGCGCCCGCCAGCAUUCUGGCGGGCAUGCCUGUUCGAGCGUCAUUUCAACCCUCGACCUCCCCUUGGGGAGGUCGGCGUUGGGGACCGGCAGCACACCGCCGGCCCUGAAAUGGAGUGGCGGCCCGUCUGCGGCGACCUCUGCGUAGUAAUACAGCUCGCACCGGAACCCCGACGCGGCCACGCCGUAAAACACCCAACUUCUGAACGUUGACCUCGAAUCAGGUAGGACUACCCGCUGAACUUAAGCAUAUCAAUAAGCGGAGGA
This 343-nucleotide unclassified non-coding RNA is filed under the name soil metagenome. RNAcentral's name for it is "partial contains 5.8S ribosomal RNA, internal transcribed spacer 2, and large subunit ribosomal RNA". The stretch from base 1 to 120 matches the Rfam family "5.8S ribosomal RNA", at positions 35 to 154 of the family's 154-position model. The record is from RNAcentral.